UCUUUUUUUUUUUUUUUUUUUGAAAUUCCAUAACAAUGCGAUCCUUUUAUUGCACAGGCUCUCACUAUACCAUGUUUUUCUUGUAAUUUGUAACAAUGCUAUCAUUUUAGUGAUUAGAACUUUGAACAUUGUUAUGAUAUGCGAAUGAAUUUUAUAAAUAUUUUAAACACGGGUUAUCAUGGGCAGCUCAGCAGUGUCAUAGUGAGAAUCACUGAACCAUUUGUUUAAGGCACAUGUCCUGCUACCACACCGGAUCGCUGUUAAUCUCAAUUAUGCUUGCGUUUCUGUUGACCAUUUAUUUGUUCCGUGCCUUUCAGCAACUACUUUCAAAGUGGUCUUAGGUUCCAUGUUAUUCAAGGCUAACAUUAUAUUAUCCCUUGCUUUACGUACCACAGGGACCACAAAUUCACAAAAUUCUAAUUUCCCCUGAUUUGGAAUUCCAAAACACAUUCAAUGCUACACAAUCAAAUUCCAAAACACAUUCAAUGUUACACAAUCAAAGGUGAUGUUAAUGAGAAAUAUCAGAGUAAAUAUGGAUUUGCUGCCACCAAUAUAUAUUUAUAAUUCUGUACAGUGAUUUUCUGAUAUUUGGUAUCUCUUUUUUCGUUUCAUUCCACUUUCAUAUUUGUAUUCCCUGCAAAUUUACCACAUAUAUAAUAUCAGAUACCAAUUCUUCAACCGUUUUCCCCUAUAUGAAUAAUAUAUAUACAAAGUAAAAUUAUGCGACACGCAAGAAUGUGAUAACAAAUACAUUUUAUUGACAAGUUAAUUCUUUUGUGAAAUUUUGACCUGCUGUUUGAGCAGAUUUGUCUCAAACAGUUAAUGAAGUGUUCAUAGAGGAAGAGCUGAGAACAAACCUUGCAGCACAAAAUGCAUUUCUGUCGGGUGUUUUACCCAUGCUUCAUUUCUGUUUCUAACAUCCUACAUCUUAGGGAAUGCUAGUUCUUCUUACCACUCUUGAGGUUGCGUACAGUCAUGACUAGUUGUUGCCUUUCACCUUCUACCUCUGCAAAUUUGAGGCUUAUCUCUGAAUAUCUCUCUUGCAUAUCUUUUAAUUCACUUCCCAUAGAUUUGUUCCUUUCCCUUAGCAGUUCCAUUUCAGUCAACAAUUCAGCAAGGUUGCUGUCAUCCCUGUCAAGUGUUGCUACACUAACUUCUUUCUUGGCAGACAUUCUCUCUGUGGUGGUCGUCUCAGAAUGCUGUAGUUUCUCCCUUUUAUCUUUUCUUUCUUCAGAUUCCUUGACUUUUGCAGUAUUUAUUGCAGCACGCUUGGUUCCCCAAUUUUCAUUAUAUGUUGGAGUGCAGUUCUUUCCCUCCGGAAAUGUAGCUCCAUUGUUGUUAUUUUUUAGCUUACUUCCCUCUUUUGUCUUGUGUAGCUCAUGCUUUAAUUCAAGAACUUGUUUCUGCAGCUUUUCUUUCUCCAGUUCUUCUUUAGACAAGCUAUUUUUUAAUUCAAUAUGCUGAGAUCUAAGGCUGUCUGCUUCUGAUGACAGUUUGUCAAACAGUGUCUCUUUUUCAUUCUUCAAAGACCUCAAUAUGAAUAAUUCUUCUUGAGCCCUUUCUGCCUCCUUCUUUGCCAAAACAAAAUUUCUCUCCAAUUCAUCUCUUUCUCUAAUCCAUCUUUCUAUUAGCACCUCUGUUUCUUCAACCGAUGUCUUUGUUUUAUCUGUUUCAUCGCUUAUUUUCACUUGUUCUGCCUGUCCAGGGAUGUGAUUCUUCUCUUUUGUGAGCAUUUCUAUCUUGGCAUUAAGCAUUUGAAUUUCAACUGAGAAAGCCUCUUGCUUUUCUUCUUUAUGCUUCUGUGCACAUCUCAGUUGCUGGGACGUAGCUUCCAGUUCUAAUGACAUAUGCUCGAUGUGUUUUGUUUUCAAAUCUAGUUGAGUCAAUAGCUCUUCCAUUCUUAUUCUGUUCUGGUCCCUGAUUAAUGAAAGCUCUUCAUCAGCUUUCUGAAGCCUUUCUUCCAGAUUUUGGUUCUGAAAGCGUAGUUCAUUAGCUUCUGUCAUCGCUUUCAUCAUCAGCUUCUCAUUUUCAUCAAACUUGCCUGCCAUUUCUACUGAAAGUUUUCUAAAUUCCUCUUGCAGCCGCUCUGCUGUCAUAGCAUUUUUCCACCGUGUCUUCCUCAAGGCCUCUUCUGCAUGGAUGGCUCUUUGUUCCUGAUCAAUUUUGGCUUGCAUCAUUGCAUCCAGAUCAUUUUCAAAUCCUUGUGCCUGCUUUUCCAGUUCUUUCUCCAUUGCUUUGACCUGACUUUCAAGUCCAUUGAUGGAAAUCAAUGACUCUGAAAAUUCUUGUGUCUGCUUCUUUAACUUUUCCUCCAAUCUCUGAACCUGUAAUUCAAGUCCUUCAAUAGUAGCUAAAUAUUCCAUGGAUUCAUUUUGCAUCUUCACUUCUUGUAGCCUGUUCUGCUCUAACUUGGAAGAGAAAUCGUUGUUUUCCUGCUGUAAAUCUGCAUACCCUUGGGUAAGUUGUUCAAUAUAAUUCUCCAGUUUUUCCCUAUCUUCUCUGUAUAGUUUAAUUUCAUCAGAGAGGUCCGCAAUUUUUUGCUUCAGUAAGCAUAAUUCACAGGCAUCAUUUUGCUCCCUUGCUAAUUCUUCCAGCGCAGCUGCUGAUUGUUGGUCAUCCUCUUUCAUGUUGCAUUUACAUUUUUUCUCCUGGACCUUAUCAACAUUCUUACUUAACUCAAGCUUGACAGAAAGAUGAGAUAUUUCCAUAUUUUUUUGCUCCAACAUAUCAUCAAGGUCUCUCACUGCAAGAAUCAACUCCGAAUUGGAAUCUUGCGUUUUCUGUAGUUGCAACUUGAGAUCAUUGUUCAACUCCUGUUCAUGACUAAGCUCUCGCAUGAUUUCUUGUAGCUGAUCUGUUACAUCCUUAUUCUCAGCUCGCAAUCUGUUCAGGGCUUCUCCAUCAACACACUUCUGUCGGGACUUGAGUUCUUGAUAUUCUGUUUUGAUUGUAUCUCUCUCCUCUUUAAGGUCAAUAAUUUGCCUUGAUAAAUCCUGUGCUUUUCUGCUCUCCUUUGUAAUUUGCUUCCGCAAAGACUGCAAUUCCAGUUCUGAUAAUUCCGACUGCCUCAGUAAACUGGAUAUUUCACUUUUUAGUUUUUCAAUGGAUUCAUCUGAAGCUCCUUGCAAGUCUCUUGGAAGGCUGUCUUGGCGGCUGUUUGUCGAGUCAGCUAAACUUCCAUCUGAAGCUGAACCCACUGACCAAUCUGUGCUUGAUCUUCUAUGCAGAUGGUUCUUUGUUGUGAAAGUAUCAAUCAUUAUCUUUUGAGGCAUGGAAUUUUGUCUCGGAGUUGAUUUGAUGCUAGCAUUAGAACCAAUAGAUGCUUUGAAGCUGCCAUCUUGGUCAGCAUUUUGCAGUGAGAAAAUAUCCAAGUUCCUGUCUUCAGUGGAAUUUCUGUAAUUUUCAUCUGUGUGGUCAUUGCUCAAUGUGUUCCUCAAGCUUUCAUCUUGGGGAAGUGUGGAAUCUCCAUCAUCUACAGUGUAUCUUUGAUCAGUACCUCCCUGCACCUUCUGAACGGUCACAUGCAAAACUGCACCAGAGUUAGCGAACUUAAGGGGCAGAGAGACUGUCAAUGGCUCAGUUCCCUCAGCAAAAUCUGCAAAAUCAAUUGAAGCUUCUCCAAGAUAACCUGAUUUUGAAGAUCCACUAGACACAAUGAAAUGGAAUAUUUUCUCAUUCAGUUUUCCUGUUUUUGCCUGCCUGAUAAGUUUCACUGUUACAUAUAUAGGGUUCUCCCAUAAACAGAUUCCAUCCUGCACUGCAGCUUUCUCCAGUUUGAAUGUUGGCUUUCCAACAUCUUCUGGCAACAAAGAUAUAGUUAAUGCAGGUUUCUUCAACUGUGGCACCUGAGUUGCCUGAAACUGCAACUUGAAAACAGCUUUGAUCUUUUUGUUGUUGCUCCUCCACGACUUAAACAUGUUUUUGUCCUUACUAUGGAUUCUCAGAGAAUCUUCAUAAAAGGUCUCACUCUCCUUAGAAUGCUCCUAACUUGGACAAAAUAAUGUAUGGUUUCUUCUCAACUGUGAAACCCAAAAACAAACGAAAGCAGCAAGAAAGCUGCAGCAGUGGUUUACUUGUUGGCUUCUCAAAUUAGAAACUGAGAUUAGUUUGGAAAUUAGAACUGAGGAUGACUCAAAUCCAGAUAGAAAAUGGAUCCAUCACAAUUAAAAAAAUUAAAAAGCUUAUCUGUACUGGCUCAAACAAUUCAUGAUAUAUUAUUGUAGAGAACCAAUAGCUGUACUAUUCUCAGCUUUCUUUUUAAUGCAGGAAAGCACGAGGUGCGGACCUUUAAAUGACAAAGAUGACCCUACGCUUUCAGUAAUAUGUCUUCAUAGCCCAGAAGACUUUUAGGUUAAAGUUGCAAGCCAAUUGGCUCGGAGCCUGCCCUCCAUGCGGUGAAAGGAAUAUCAAUAUUGUCGGGGGCAAAGAAUUUUGAGAAAAUAGGUUUCCCAGGGAAGGUUCCAUAUUGGUGAGUGAUACAGAUAAGGAAAUUUCUCUACCGUAUUAAAUAAAGCAGCUAACAUCUGGCCUGUGCUUUCACUAUUGCUUUGGAUUUCGUCGUUGCUAGCGACAAUUUGCAACAAACAAGCAGUUUGCCACUGAAAGUUAUGAGUAUAUACGUGGGAGGACUAAGAUGUUCCUCUGUAUUUUUGGUCUAAUCAGUUUUAUUUUCGGGUGAUCUCCUAAAUGGAGGAUUAUAUUAUUCAAAUCCAACAAUUAUGGGGUGGAUAAUCGCUCAAUAAAUGUAAGAAGGGAUUUCUUUAAAUUUUUUUUUCAUUUACUCUAACAAGAGAUUCUUG
This 4799-nucleotide unclassified non-coding RNA is filed under the name Hevea brasiliensis (rubber tree). The record is from RNAcentral. Lineage: Eukaryota; Viridiplantae; Streptophyta; Magnoliopsida; Malpighiales; Euphorbiaceae.